RNAcentral lists this ribosomal RNA (219 nucleotides) under uncultured bacterium. RNAcentral's name for it is "partial 16S ribosomal RNA". It matches the Rfam family "Bacterial small subunit ribosomal RNA", at positions 524 to 739 of the family's 1533-position model. The record is from RNAcentral.
UACGAAAGGAGCAAGUGUUAUUCAGAUUAACUGGGCGUAAAGGGCACGUAGGUGGUUUGUUUAUGUGUAUUAUUAAAUUAUAAAGCAUAACUUUAUAAUGUAGUAUAAACAGCAAAACUAGAGUUAGGUAGAGAGUAGUAGAAAUUUCUAAUGUAAAGGUGAAAUUUGAUAAAAUUAAGAGAGAAUAACCAAUGGCGUAAGCAACUACUUGGACCUUAG